RNAcentral lists this ribosomal RNA (1381 nucleotides) under uncultured bacterium. RNAcentral's name for it is "bacterial SSU rRNA". It matches the Rfam family "Bacterial small subunit ribosomal RNA". The record is from RNAcentral.
CCUUAGAGUUUGAUCCUGGCUCAGGACGAACGCUGGCGGCGUGCCUAACACAUGCAAGUCGAACGAGCGAGAGAGAGCUUGCUUUCUCAAGCGAGUGGCGAACGGGUGAGUAACGCGUGAGGAACCUGCCUCAAAGAGGGGGACAACAGUUGGAAACGACUGCUAAUACCGCAUAAGCCCACGACCCGGCAUCGGGCUGAGGGAAAAGGAUUUAUUCGCUUCAGGAUGGACUCGCGUCCAAUUAGCUAGUUGGUGAGGUAACGGCCCACCAAGGCGACGAUUGGUAGCCGGACUGAGAGGUUGAACGGCCACAUUGGGACUGAGACACGGCCCAGACUCCUACGGGAGGCAGCAGUGGGGGAUAUUGCACAAUGGGGGAAACCCUGAUGCAGCGACGCCGCGUGGAGGAAGAAGGUUUUCGGAUUGUAAACUCCUGUCGUUAGGGACGAUAAUGACGGUACCUAACAAGAAAGCACCGGCUAACUACGUGCCAGCAGCCGCGGUAAAACGUAGGUCACAAGCGUUGUCCGGAAUUACUGGGUGUAAAGGGAGCGCAGGCGGGAAGACAAGUUGGAAGUGAAAUCCAUGGGCUCAACCCAUGAACUGCUUUCAAAACUGUUUUUCUUGAGUAGUGCAGAGGUAGGCGGAAUUCCCGGUGUAGCGGUGGAAUGCGUAGAUAUCGGGAGGAACACCAGUGGCGAAGGCGGCCUACUGGGCACCAACUGACGCUGAGGCUCGAAAGUGUGGGUAGCAAACAGGAUUAGAUACCCUGGUAGUCCACACUGUAAACGAUGAUUACUAGGUGUUGGAGGAUUGACCCCUUCAGUGCCGCAGUUAACACAAUAAGUAAUCCACCUGGGGAGUACGACCGCAAGGUUGAAACUCAAAGGAAUUGACGGGGGCCCGCACAAGCAGUGGAGUAUGUGGUUUAAUUCGAAGCAACGCGAAGAACCUUACCUGAUCUUGACAUCCCGAUGACCGCUUCGUAAUGGAAGUUAUUCUUCGGAACAUCGGUGACAGGUGGUGCAUGGUUGUCGUCAGCUCGUGUCGUGAGAUGUUGGGUUAAGUCCCGCAACGAGCGCAACCCUUAUCUUCAGUAGCCAGCAUUUAGGGUGGGCACUCUGGAGAGACUGCCAGGGAUAACCUGGAGGAAGGUGGGGAUGACGUCAAAUCAUCAUGCCCCUUAUGACCAGGGCUACACACGUGCUACAAUGGCGUAAACAAAGGGAAGCGAAGCCGCGAGGCCGAGCAAAUCUCAAAAAUAACGUCUCAGUUCGGAUUGUAGUCUGCAACUCGACUACAUGAAGCUGGAAUCGCUAGUAAUCGCAGAUCAGAAUGCUGCGGUGAAUACGUUCCCGGGUCUUGCACACACCGCCCGUCA